Molecule: non-coding RNA, 817 nt
Organism: Anas platyrhynchos (mallard)
Lineage: Eukaryota; Metazoa; Chordata; Aves; Anseriformes; Anatidae
Source: RefSeq, a predicted model, not a curated record
GCGGGAGCGGGCUGAGGGGAAAUUCUGAGGGAGAGGUGUGGAAAAGCUGAGGGGAAUUUCUGAGGAAAAGGUGAGAGUGAGUUGAGGGAACUGGGGCUUAAGGCUGGGGAAGUUCUGAGGGACAGGCAGGAGUGAGCUGAGGGAAUUUGUGAGGGACAGGUAGUAAGGAGCUGAGGGAGUUUCUGAGGGGGAUAGGCAGCAAGGAGUUGAGGGGAGAUUCUGAGGAAAAGGCGGGAGCAGGCUGAGGGGAAAUUCUGAGGAAAAGGCGGGAGCGGGCUGAGGGGAAAUUCUGAGGGAGAGGUGUGAAAAAGCUGAGGGGAAUUUCGGAGGAAUAUGUGGGGCUUAAGCCCGGGGAAGUUCUGAGGGGCAGGUGGGAGUGAGCUGAGGGAAUUUGUGAGGCACAGGUCGUAAGGAGCUGAGGGAGUUUCUGAGGGAUAGGCAGCAAGGAGUUGAGGGGAGAUUCUGAGGGAAAAUUGGGAGCAAGCUGAGGAGAAGUUCUGAGGGACAGGUGUGGAAAAGCUGAGGGGAAUUUCUGAGGAAAAGGCCUCCUGUUACAAGGGCAGAGAUGAUUUGCGUUGGAGGCACUGGGAGACUGGAAAGGCUUCGGAGAAGAACAAGAAGAAGCUGUCUUGCUAUGCCUAAACUAGUCCUGCAUAAAUGCAUGUGUGUGAACCUCCAUGGUCGUUCAUGGCAUCUCUCAGGAGCAGACCCAGUUGUGAUUCCUCAUUCCGGUACGUAGUGUGUGCUACUGAGGAAGUGCAAGGCACCACUGUGAGGAGUGUCCCCACCUGUUGGACCAGCAAGGGCAGCUCUGCAG